RNAcentral lists this ribosomal RNA (292 nucleotides) under uncultured bacterium. RNAcentral's name for it is "partial 16S ribosomal RNA". The record is from RNAcentral.
GGACUACCGGGGUUUCUAAUCCUGUUUGCUCCCCUUGCUCUCGCGCCUCAGCGUCAGGAGAAAGCUAGAAAACCGCUUUCGCCACAGGUGUUCUUCCACAUAUCUACGCAUUUCACCGCUACACGUGGAAUUCCAUUUUCUCCGCCAUUCCUCAAGAUUUGCAGUUUCAAAUGCAGUGCCGAAGUUGAGCUUCGGAAUUUCACAUCUGACUUACAAACCCGCCUACGCGCCCUUUACGCCCAAUAAAUCCGAUUAAUGCUUGCACCCUCCGUAUUACCGCGGCUGCUGGCAC